AGCGAACGCUGGCGGCAGGCCUAACACAUGCAAGUCGAGCGCCCGGGGCAACCCGGGAGCGGCAGACGGGUGAGUAACACGUGGGAACGUGCCCUUCGGUUCGGAAUAACUCAGGGAAAC
Molecule: ribosomal RNA, 120 nt
Filed under: uncultured bacterium
Lineage: Bacteria
Description: partial 16S ribosomal RNA
Rfam family: Bacterial small subunit ribosomal RNA
Source: RNAcentral